Molecule: RNA transcript, 6828 nt
Organism: Triplophysa dalaica
Lineage: Eukaryota; Metazoa; Chordata; Actinopteri; Cypriniformes; Nemacheilidae
Gene: baiap2a
Gene name: BAR/IMD domain containing adaptor protein 2a
Exons: 15
Source: RefSeq, a predicted model, not a curated record
CAGCUGAGAUCAGACUCCAGUGGAUCGGAGUGCAGAUCCGCAGCUGACAUUCGCCACACAAGACACACCGUUCGGAUAACACAUCAGAUUCGACCGAACACCGUUUAUGGUUUUAACUGAAGAUUUCACAAUGUCUCGCGCCGACGAGGUCCACCGCAUCACGGAGAAUGCCUAUAAGACCAUCAUGGAGCAGUUCAACCCCUGUUUGCGGAACUUCAUCGCCAUGGGGAAGAACUACGAGAAGGCUCUCUCCAGUGUGACGUUUGCAGCCAAAGGUUAUUUUGACGCGCUGGUGAGAAUGGGCGAGCUGGCCAGUGAAAGUCAGGGAUCGAAGGAUUUGGGGGACGUGCUCUUUCAGAUGGCAGAGGUCCACCGGCAAAUUCAAGUGCAGUUAGAGGAAAUGCUGAAAUGCUUCCACAAUGAGUUGCUGUCAGAACUGGAGAAGAAGGUGGAUUUGGACGCCAGAUACUUGACUGCGGCUCUUAAGAAGUACCAGAUUGAACACAAAAGCAAAGGAGAGAGUCUGGAGAAGUGCCAGGGGGAGCUGAAGAAACUGCGGAGGAAGAGCCAGGGCAGCAAAAACCCCUCCAAGUACGGAGAGAAGGAGUUGCAGUACGUUGAGACCAUCAGCAGUAAACAAACCGAGCUGGAUUCCUUCAUUGCAGAGGGCUACAAAACUGCGCUUUCAGAGGAGCGCAGGAGAUACUGUUUCCUAGUGGACCGUCAGUGUGCCGUGGCCAAGAACAGCAGCGCUUACCAUGGAAAGGGUAAAGAUUUGCUAACCCAGAAGAUCCCAGUAUGGCAGCAAGCCUGUUCAGACCCCAACAAGCUGCCUGAGAGGGCCAUGCUGAUCACCCAACAGAUGACGUCUGGUUCCAGCACUCUCCUCUCCAGCCCUAUGCACUCCUCCAAGGGCAACCUGGUCAUCUCAGAUCCCAUCCCUGGAGCACAACCCCUGCCUGUGCCACCUGAACUUGCUGCCUUCAUGGGAAGUGGCCUGGGCCACCAGGGGCGGCUAAUGGGUCCUGAGGGCAUGUCUCUGGUGAACGGGACGACGGGGGUCCACGGGGAAGAGUACUGGACAGACGAAAGAGGCGCUCAGGGAAGACCGCCAUCCCCACAGAGUCAGUCUCAAACCCCAAACCAGCCUCAGAGACAGGUCAGCGACGUUUACUCCAACACCCUGCCUGUCCGCCGACCUCAGCCGGCUAAAAACAAGACCGCUGUGGGAGAGACAAGGACUCUGCCCCGGUCGAGUUCUAUGGCAGCGGGACUGGAGAAGAACGGACGCUCUCUUGUCCAGGCCAUUUUUUCCCACACUGCUGGAGACAACACCACCCUGCUCAGCUUCACUGAGGGAGACCUCAUCACCCUGCUGGUGCCCGAGGCAAGAGACGGCUGGCACUAUGGAGAGAAUGAGAAGACCAAGAUGCGUGGCUGGUUUCCUUUUUCGUACACUCGAGUGCUGCCCGACAGCGACAGUGAGAAGUUAAGAGUGAAUCUUCAUCAUGGGAAAAGCAGCAGCACAGGGAACCUGCUGGAAAGAGAGGACAUGUCUUUGCCAAUGCCUGACUAUGGUCUGACCGCCCGACUUUUGGCACAGAGCCUUACACAGACUCGGCCACGCCCCUACAGCAUGGCUGGCUUUGCACAGCCAGCGCUAGAGGAUUAUGACAAUCCCUUUGCCACAAGUUCCGAUGGCAAAUUGAUUUCGACAGUGUGAAAACAGACAGACUAUCAGACACAGAUACAGCUCCGGAUAGCACAGGGGCCACGCCCCUACUUCCCUUAGCCCCUCCCCCCUGUUAAGCUCUGCCUCCACACACUCCUCCUCCAAUGGAAGGGGCCAGUCUCAUCCCUCCUUUCUGUCCUCUCUUCCUCCCUGCGUCUUGCCGGGGCGAUAGUGCCGGUCGCGUGUGGUGGGUCGGGGGGGAGCUCUGAGAGGAUCGACCGGAACGCAGUCCAACUGCUCGCAUCGCCGCUUUACGGACUGUGAUUCGCCUGUAGUGACGCCGCUAUGACAUCGCUGUGGACUCCAAAGAGACUGCUUACCACUUCCUGUCUUUCAUGCAUGAGCACAAGUUUUGCUAUGUGGUUGUUUUUUUUAAAUGACAUCCUCAUGUAAAAGUGCCGAAAAGAAAAGCUCAUUUGGUAUUUUGGAGCAGCUCUCCUAAUGACGAUGCUCUCGCUGUUCUUUUUUCCAAGCAGAUGUUAUGGGAGCCUCAUGCGAAAUGAGGAGUGUUCUUUUUUUUAUUAUUUGUGGUUGAGUUGUGCAGAGUGUAUUCUCUCUCUGUGUUUUUGAAGAGCAUUUGCGUUUUGUGAUUCCCUCAUGUAUUACCUGGUGCUCCUCUGAUCCAGAGCCUGUGUCACAUUGUGCCAAAAUUAAAGCAGAUUAGGUUUUCCUAUUCACAGACAGGAUUGGAAUGAUAUGAAGGAAAAUCUAAAUUCUCCCAAGUGCCAAACAGUGGACCUACAUACCAGCGUGAAGGUUGCAUGAGCUUCAAAAUACUUGGGUGGGACCGCGCUGUUCUCAGAGACCAGCACGCGUCCGCUCGCCCUGCAUGCAUGAAAGAAAAGUGCUCUGAGCAUAAACUCAAUCUAUCCCACCACACCCCAAAAAUCCCAUUAUCUUAUUUCAGACAUAUAGAACUACAGGGUCCGAAUUUUGUUGAACUGAAUAUAUCCCGAAAAAUAGGCAAGUGUGUAAUUUUUUUGGAGGAUCUAUUGACAGAAAUGCAAUACGUAAUUACGUAAUGAAGCGUAGUUUUUAUUUCCUCAGAAUGAGCUUUUUCUAUCUACAUACAUCGAGGGGCCCCUUACAUGGGAUUCCUCAUGUUGUUUCUACAGUAGCCCGAAACGGACAAACUGCUCUACAGACCAGAGCCAUGGAGAAAGAGAGAGUUGCGCCACUGAAAGUUCAACAUUUUCGCGUGUCACGUGAUUCAAGAAGCCUUUAGAUGGUUCCAGCAAGUUAUGUUUUCCAUUUAAAGGCGCAGUCUUUAAUUUACUCGGCCACUUGCGCUGUAUUAUAGAUUUGCAAUGAAUCGCUCAGUCCAAACAUGACGGUGGCCACCGUAGUACAAAAAGAUGUCGUUCUCAUGUUGACACAGGAAGAGAUCCUGCAGGCAUUAGAAAGACUGUAAAACCGCGAUGUCUUAUUUAUUACAUAAAAUAAAAGGUUUGUGGAUUUUAAGUAUAAAAAGAAGGAUAAAAGUCAGGCAGGAGCUAAUAUUAUAAAGACUUUCCAGCAGAGACGCGUUAGGACAGGCGGUACUAAGAUCCAUCUUAAAACCCCGUAUUUUUCAUUUAAUUUAUUUAUUUCCUUGAUUUUUUUUAUUCAUUAAAUGACUUUUUUGAGUUUACCUCAGUUGGUCUGUUUAGCUGCAGCUCCAUGUGUUACUAGUAACUUCCGGGAACUAUUGAGAGCCUCCAUGAACCGACAGUGCUGUGAAAAAACUGUUCCAUUGGAGUCAAUGGAGUUGAUGCGACUCUCUCCCUCAAUGGCUCUACUACAGAGCGUGUUGCGUAAAUACGUUAUCUCCUUUGGCAAAGAAACAUAAACGUGACGACAUCUCCUUGCCGGUCAGCCGCUAUAGUGCUUCGAAUGGAGGGGUGGAGUGAGCCAUUGUUUGCUAUUCACAACUUCACCACUAGAUGACACCAAAAUGUCAACAUUCAAAUCGCAUUUCCAGCAAAAUUAGACCAGACAGCUUUAAUAUCAAUAUCACAAGUUUACCAUGGUGAGUGUGGCAUAUUUAUAAGUAUUUACUCAAUAGCGAAUAUUUGCUUAUUUUUAACUAAAAAAGUUAUGCCGUUUUUGCUCAAAUUUAGAUCUGCCAAAUGUAAUUCGCAAAUGCAAACUAUAUACACAUUUACAGAAUAAAAUGAAUACGCAAAUGUAAUUUACAAAAGACAGCUUUGCUUUACAAAAAAACAAUUUAUUUUAUUUAUAUUUUACCUAAAAAUAUGUCCUAUUAAGUUUUACAAAAUAUAAGUGAUACAUUCUCAAAAUCUGGCUUACGAAUGUGAAAAGGAUCAUUCUUAUCUUUGUCAUACACUGUCUUAAAUCAUUCCAAUAAGAUGUGUUAAGUCAGGGUACUCCACACAACAUUUGUGAAUCCUAUUUUUUGUGAAUAUUCAUUCCGAUGCAAUUCCGACCCUGAUAUGAAAGUGCCACCAGCCCUUGUCUCUAAAGCAUUCCCCUGUUGUACAGGAUGUUAGGAUGUUGACUGACAGAUCCUCUGGAGAUGUGGUGUAGUCCCCGCUGUGUUGUUGUUCUUUUCAGUUUCUUUUCCUUGGAAAAUAGACAAACUAGGAAAACUGCACAAGAAAUAAGUGUAACGCUCACAAUAUGCAUGCCGAGGAGGAACAUAGUGAACAUUUGACCUUGAAUGUAUGGUGACUUUUUACGGAACGAAUAAAUAAAAAUAUCUAUAUAUUAAUAAAACAAUUGUUCAAAUGAGCCUUUGAUGAUUUUCACUUUGUCAUUUUGAAUUUUGAACUCUUUCCACUGUGGGAAACGAACUGUAAAACCCAUCUACUCCCAUACGAUCCAGAAGAGCAGACACUUGAUUGUUUUUGCAUCGUGUCCUUGUGUCUGUUUGAAGACGUGACCUGUCCGUGUGUUUUUGUGCCGUGUGCUUGCCUGCUAGCAUUAACCUUCUAACUUCUCUUUCUGUGUUCUUACAGCGGAGAACUGAUCUGACAUAUAUAUACUCUAUAUUUAAGAUGUAUAAGAAAUCGAUAUUAUAGAUGCAUUCAUGAUUAGAUGUGACUAGAUUUUGUUCUUUUUUUUAAACACACUUUGCUUUCUGAAUUGGCCUGUUUGUUUAACAACGACACUGCUAUGGGCAGACUCUUCAUUUUGCACUAUAUUUUGAACCCAUGUCAUCUCUUGAAGCGUGUUGUUUACUCAUCUAUUAACAUGAGACUUGUGACGUCAUCCAUCCGAAUCAGUGAGCAGUUCAAAAACACCAUGUCACAGAGCGAGUAACCAACAGCCAUCUAACGCAACACUAACAGUCGUGUGAAUGCGGUGGAAAUGUAGCCAUGCAUAGCCUCAGUCCGAGCUGAGCUGUCAGGUACAAACCCCUGGACUUUCUUUACCUUCCAGUUUGGGUCCUGAAUUGUCCCGGUUCUGAGUGUUGCAGGACCUCCUGAUCGUUCCUUGGAGGUCUACUUCAGGCCAAGCCUCAUGGACGACCGAUCUGCUCCUCUCUACUACUAGAGGAGCUUGUGCUGUGGCCUGUGCACUAUGCCGCCCUCUUCUGUUCUGUUUGUGUCGUUGCAACAACAUGUGGCAGCAGAGCACGUGUACUUGCCUACAGGGGGGCAAGCGCCGAGGAUAGACCGUAAACUUUGUAAUGAUCUUAACUGUGUAGCUUUAUAAGUAUUGAUGUAGUGAUGAAUUGCAAAACAAAACAUUUGUUCUCGAUGGUUGUUUAUGUUAAAGUUCACCCAAAAACAAACAUUCUGUCAUUUAUUCACCCUCUAUGACUUACUUUCUUCCGCAGAAGAUAUUUUGAAGAAAGCUGGUAACCGAACAGCACCGAAGCACACGCACUUCUGUUGUAUGGACAAAAAAACAAUGCAAAGUCAAUGGGUGCCGGAAAACAAAAAAAUGUUGAAUCUUUUUCUGUGUUCUGCGGAAGAAAGUCAUACAGGUUUGAAAUGACAAGAGUGUGAGUUAAUGACGACACGUUCUUGGGUGAACUGUCACUUUAACAAACGUGGCACAGUGCCGACUAAUCAAAAGUGAUCAGUACUUUUUUGGGGGAGAGGAUCAAGAUCAAGAGUUUGUAUAUUUGAGAUUGUGAAUGUAAAAAUAUAACAAGUAAUUAUGAUUUCCAUAAAUUGCAGUUCUAGAUCUUAGGUAAGGAUUUCUUUUUCUCUGUUUUGAAAUAUUUGUGUGACAGUUCGUCUGUGUAUCAUCACUUGUUCGUGAAAGCUGUUCUCGAGGGUGCUGGGAUGAAACUUCUUUCGAGCAGUUGCGAUAUUGCGGUCGCUUCAUAAUAAACAGACCACUAUGUUUUCUUAAUGCAGCUUUAGUGAUGCAAAUUCUCGGGUAAGAGAGAUCUGUCAAGUAUAUUAGUCGCAAUAUAUAGUGCAAUUUUACAUGCAAGCAAUGCUGACACAGGGAUUGUGCCUUUAACAGCUGUUUGUAUUAUGUAUUAUGUUUGUAUUAUGCUCUUUGCAAAAAAAAAGAAAUAUGUGACUCCAUUGGUAUAUAUUAGGGAUUUUUUUUCUUUGUAAUUUUGUGUUAUUCAAUCUGUUUUGUACUUUUUGUUUGUUUGUUUCGAAAUUUUUCAAUGACUGUUCUAGAUAAGAGGGUUUGUUUGUUUUUCUUUGCUAGCUGCUUUUGCUAACAAGAUGUGUUGAGAAUUUUAAUCUUUAUCAUCAUACAAUACUGCUUAUUCAGUGUAUUAAAAUAGGCUUACUGCACAAACAUGAAAAUAUAAAUCACAGAUUAUGUAAAUAUAUGUUUUUGUUUGUUUCUGAGGGACCGAGAGUAGUCCUUGUAAAUAUAAUCUCUUAGUUCAUCUGUUUUCUUGCCACAGGGGGAAAUCUAAAGACACUAAUAUGAAUGGCUUGUUUUUAUAUUAGGGAAUCUAAUGUGGUGUGUGAGAAAGAUUGGGUACCUUGAAUGAUUCUUAAAUGGAUAGAGUUUUUUUCUGCCAGCUUUAAAACUUAUUUUAAAAUGCUUUUUGUUUUCAUUUUGCGAUUCUGUUCAUUCUUAUUUAUGGAGAAAUGCAAAUGUUUGUGCCCAUUCUUGUAGGAAAUAAAAAAGCAAUAAAAAAGGUUUCUAGCACCAUUUCAUAUUAUAUAGAA